CAAUAAAAAAUAAAUGCAAGUAAAUAAUAUUGCAGCUCUGCUCGGCUGAACUCCGGCCGGUUCUGUCUCUCUCACCUUCUUCUUCAACUGGUAGAGAAGUUGUCUUCCUCACCUGUCGGAGUUGCUGUUCUUCCAGUGGUGGAGAAAACAAGUAAUUCAGAAUCUGUUUAUGUGCAAUAGAAGCUCUCGCGAGCAGGCUACGGAAUGAGGUUUAAAAGGAGUGAAGAUACGGUUUUUGAGAGGUCCCUAGAUUCUAUAGCUGUAAGGGUUCCCCGGAGGAGAAGGUUGAACAGAUGGAUAACUUCUGGAGGAUCUUUCCAGUAUUAGGGAAUGAGGCCUAGAUGGGAGAAUUUCUGCUAAUGGAAGCAGAAUUGUGUGUGGGAAUUAAACCAUGUCCUGAGUUGAAAUCGAUUAGUAAAGUUCUCCUUUCCCAUUCUUUGUAAAUUGUCUUUCAAUGAAGAAUCAAUGAAGAAUCUGAUUGCUUGGUAGUUUGAUCAGUGCUGCUCUCUUUCGUUUUUGAUCUAUUAAUUCUUCCAUGUUCUUUGUUGAGGUAAAUGUUUUGUUACAAAAUAGAAGCUGCGGAUUGACGUUUGUCUAAACUGUUUUGCGUGGGUUGCUAUGUUAGUUCCAUCCAUAAUAUCAUCAUUACUUAGAUCUGUUCUGAUCAUAAUUUGUUUUAGUUCAUAAUUUCAAUGCAAUAAAUGAGAUUUAUCUCUGAUUGCCUUUUCUUACUCAUCUUAAAAUGGUAUCUGGGUCCUAGGAAUGAUGGAUGAAAUGUGUGCAACUUUAAGGUUCUGUCAACUGCAUGUAAGCUGCUUAUACAUCAGAUAUUAUCUUUAUUCUCUGAUUCAUUCAUGUUUGUAGCUUGCUUGAGUGGCCAUUUUAAAGAAUAUGGGCAACAUUUUACGCUCAAGAACUUUGCUUUUGUUAACAUCUAGGAGGAUCCUUGAGGACUUCAGUCAAAGUAACUCUUAUGGCAUUUAGGUUUGGAAUUAUUCUGGGAGCCAUCCUUGAAGAUAUCCUUGAACAGGUGUAUAUUAAUGAUGUCUCUACAAACAUGAGAUAGAUCAAGUGAUCCAUGGACUAUAUUUGAGAAACUGCCAUGAGAAUGAGAUGAAUUUUAAAUGUGGAUCAGACAUCUUGUAUAAAUGUGAAAUUGCAGAGACUUGAAAAGGGAAGUGGCAACCCUUUGUAGACCUUAGAUGAUGUUGAAGGACUUCUUUUUUGAACCAGUGGUGGCCAUGGGAAUUUUGUUUGCUUUUUAAGAUUUAUAUAAGGUUUUAGCUGGUGUGGAAUUUUUAUCAUUGAGGAUAACCUUUCUUGUGAAUUUUCUUUUUUGUUUUAAACUUUGCAAGCUGUAUAGUUUUUGAUAUCUGGGUCAAGCUUCUGUAUAGUUUUCAAGAUUUAUAUAAGCUUGGGUCAUCUUGUGUUGGUUCUUUA
This is a non-coding RNA of Carica papaya (papaya), 1440 nucleotides long. Lineage: Eukaryota; Viridiplantae; Streptophyta; Magnoliopsida; Brassicales; Caricaceae. The record is from RefSeq and is a predicted model, not a curated record.